GACGAACGCUGGCGGCGUGCUUAACACAUGCAAGUCGAACGGAAAGGCCCUGCUUUUGUGGGGUGCUCGAGUGGCGAACGGGUGAGUAACACGUGAGUAACCUGCCCUUGACUUUGGGAUAACUUCAGGAAACUGGGGCUAAUACCGGAUAGGAGCUCCUGCUGCAUGGUGGGGGUUGGAAAGUUUCGGCGGUUGGGGAUGGACUCGCGGCUUAUCAGCUUGUUGGUGGGGUAGUGGCUUACCAAGGCUUUGACGGGUAGCCGGCCUGAGAGGGUGACCGGCCGCAUUGGGACUGAGAUACGGCCCAGACUCCUACGGGAGGCAGCAGUGGGGAAUAUUGCACAAUGGGCGGAAGCCUGAUGCAGCAACGCCGCGUGCGGGAUGACGGCCUUCGGGUUGUAAACCGCUUUCGCCUGUGACGAAGCGUGAGUGACGGUAAUGGGUAAAGAAGCACCGGCUAACUGCGUG
Molecule: ribosomal RNA, 468 nt
Filed under: uncultured bacterium
Lineage: Bacteria
Description: partial 16S ribosomal RNA
Rfam family: Bacterial small subunit ribosomal RNA
Source: RNAcentral